AAGUGCAGCUGUUAAGCACUUUCUUCCGAGGUCUCGCCUUACAGUAUCAAAUGGCUCUUGAUACGGCGAGUGAAGGAAACUUCACUACUCGGAAUCCAUUAGAAGCUGUGAGACUUAUCGAAAACCUUGCUAACAGCAGCAGCACCAAAAACACUGACUCUGAACGAAUGAAGUCUGUAGCCCUGCAUCUCCAACACCUGAAUAGUGGCCCUGCAUCUAAUAUCAUUUCCAAUCAAGUUAAAUUUACUAUUUACUUCGCUUGUUACUAUUGCAAUUUCAUUUAAACAUUUACAACUCUUAGAAUUAAUAAACACUAGAUUUAAUUGUUCCCUAGCUCCUUGUGGAUUUGAUCCCUAAGUACUACAUCUGAACCUCUUUUGAUGAGAGUAACACUCCUUAGGGUAAUUUGAGUGGUAUCAGUCCUUGAAGAACCGCGGAAGAUGUUUGGGAUUUAUAGCUGCAUCCUUCAGGGGGGAUUGCCUACGUAUUCAAUGAGGGAUCAAGCCGUUCGUAGGUCAUGUAUUGGUGGAGGCACGGAGCCUAAGUGGGCACGUAGCCUAAUGGGCACUUGGCCUAAGGAGCACAUAGCUCUGAUGGAGGUGCGGAGCCUGGUUGGGCACGUGGCCUUGAUGGGCACAUGACCUUGGGAGCAUGUAGCUCUGUAGGAGAUAUGAGCCAUCUGUUCUAGGGGCGCAUGGCCAGAACAUAUGGUGGAGUAGUCGAUAUGCUGCAGGUAGCAUGGAUCUUCGAUAUGCUUUGAUGAGCAUGGAGUGUCACUGUCGGUGUGCUGGAGAUCGUGGCCUGGACCAGUAUGUGGAGUUGUAGGCGUGCUGUAGAGAGCAUAGGACGUCAUCUUCAUGGUAGUAAUCACCGGGAUCAGCCUGUCAUCGACCUCUCGUAGGAUAAGGUCUUCUCGGUGAAAUAUAGCCUUGGCGGCUGUUGAAUUCGUAUGCUCUGGAGUUGGAUGUUUUCUCCCAUAGAUGGACGUGUUCCUCUUCUUCUUAAGGUUUAGCAACCUAUCUUUAUAUUGGAGGUCGUGCCUCUCUCUUAGGGUUUGGAAAUAUUCCAUAUAUCCUUAGAUAAUAGAAUCUUUCCAUUCUUCUCAAGGGCGGCUUAUCAUAUUGGAAUACUUCCUCUUUCUCUUGGAUUUAGGAAGAUUCCUUCUUUUCUAAGCUGGUUACCUAAAAAAUGGAAGAUUUCCAUUUAUCUUAAGGCAGGAGAAAACACUUGGCCUGGAAGAUGGAGGAAGGGCCCAGACCUUGGGGCAGGGACCCAGGACCCAGAGGCAGGAACCCGGACCCUGGGGGCAGGGACCUGGAAGACUAAAGCUGGAGUAAUCUCUUCAUGGAAUAUUUUUCCCCAAUAGUUUGCUCCUUAUUUUCUGGCUUCAUGUUUGAAGGCAGGAAAUAACAUGACUUUCUUCAUAGGACUUUAUAAGUUGCAUUGUAGUAUCAUGCUGCCUUUGUUGAUCGUUCUCAGAUGUACUUGUGCUCGGUGUGAAAGGAUUUGUAGCAUGGUUGGAGGUGCAUGACCUUUGAUUCGGAUGACCUGGAAGUGGAGAAUCAGGAAGGACCACAAUGUAGGACCUAAUAAACGCUCUAAGGGUGGACAUUACCGUCGUGCGAGAUCAGAUCGAGCCUGUAGGACUUUCUUCUUCUCCUUUAUAAGGAUGAGACAUUACCCCUACGUUGGAGAUUUGCCGGAGUUGGCAGAAAGUUUGAUGAAGAAGCCAGGAAUGCCUACAUAAAGGGUGAUGCUUCUGCUCAUACCCAGGUGCUUGUGCUUCUCUUGUGGCUGUACUCGGCCUUAGUUCAGGCCUAACUUCAGUUUGUGUUUCUUGAGGCUCUCUGGCUCCACGAAUCGUGUGGAGGAGUGUAUGGGUCAGGACCCAGGAAUUCUAAGAGGGAGAAUCUUGGCGAGACUAAGGACCAGGGGGAUGAGUAGGUUUAGCAAGACCCAGAUGCCGAAACUGAGGAUUUUCAUGCUUGAUUCUAUCGGCCUUGCGUGUUCUUCUCGAGCUCGUAAAGGCUGUAAUGGACUUUCAAGGGGAUCUCCGUGCAAGUUUCCUUGCUGCGUUUAGCAUACUUGAUGCUCCUUGAGGUGUUGAUGUUGUAGCUGUAGCUUCUUGCAUCGUCCCAGGAUUGUACCUUGACUUUUGCAGAGGGGACGUUCAGCAUGUUCGUCUUGGUGCCUGGAGAUAACCUAGUUUAUUCUUGGUGUUGAACUGAAGAGGAGUUAGAGCUUGUACAUUAAUAGGGCAAGCUCUAGAAGAUGUCCAGAAGAGUUCCAUCAAGCUUCAGAAGUGUUCUGAAGUAUCUAUCUUGUGAAGUCAAGUCUAGGAGAGACUUAGACUGAUCAUGUGAAGUGUUUGGAGGAGUUAGAGAGAAGAUGGCCUCAGGUGCAAAGAUAGGGCAAAUCAAGAAGAGGAAUUGAUCAACCAAAGAGGAAGGAUAAGUGUUGUCAUAGUUAGGGCGAGUGUACGGACCAGACAGGCCGUACAUCGACCGUACAACACCCGAGCCUCAUCCAUUCAUCCGGUUAGCCAAAAGAAGAAGAAUGCAAGGUGUGGGCACGACAUGAUUCAAAUCAUGUGACCGUUGGAGUGAGAUGGAAGCAAAGGAAUAUACCUUAGGAUAAAUGUGGUCCAAGAGACAGGCUGGAAAGGGAAAGGUGCUUUACCUUUACAGCCUUAUCCCUACACUGAUCAAUCUUGGCUGCUCAUUCAAACUGAAGCAUCUAAGCCAUCCAUCAAGUCCAUACACGCCUCUCCUUUAUAGCUAGCACCAGAACAUCAAAGACCAUUCUUCUCUAAUCCAAGCCAUCCAAUCUAUCUUGCAUUUAUGUCCAUAGGAUCUAGGUUUAUUCUUUGAUACAUGUAAAGGCAUAUAUAAGCCUUAGAUGACAUUUUGUAACACUAAAGGGAGUAAGGGGGAUUUCCCCUCUCCACUUCAUGAAUGAUAAACUUGUUCUUGAAUCUGAAACCCUAAUCUCUAAUCUCUUGUUCUCCUAAUCUCUCAGUCUCUUAAUCUCUGUUCCUAAGUCUCUUAUUUUCUCAUAAAAACUCUCAUCAAUCUCUCCUUCUAAAUCACCUAGAGCAAGCUCUCAUCUUUAUCCAUUAGGAGUUUAUACACACACACAUACAACCAGAGAAGAGAACUCUACAAAUCUCAUAUGGUAUCAGAGCCAGGUUACUCAGAACCUGAGCUGUAGCUUCCGCAAAACACUUGCUCUCAUCUCAGCUCAAACCAAAGCCUAGAAGACAUGUUCAUUCGAGCUCAAAUUCUUCAAGAAGAAGAAGUGUGAAGCCGUGAAGUGUUCUCCUUGUCUCUCUGUAUCUACUGUCCAUCCUGAUGGUGAUUCUCCUUGGAAGCAAAGGUGUAUAGAAAGGCUUAGCAAACCUUCUUCAAAUCGCCUUGUUCAAGAAGUGUUCUCUCAUCCGGUGUCAAAAUGGUGUCCAAGAAGAUGGCGCCUAGAAGACAUGAAACAAUGAGGGGCCUUGAGUAUGAGAAACAAGAUGGUGGCCAUGAACUGAAGGAGAAGGAGGUGGGUGAUGAUCCAGACUCCCAGAUCCAACAAAAGUCAUGGCCGGUUUCACAAAAUGCAAAAGGAAUCAACAUGGUUCCUUGUUGUAAGCGAUUCUAUAAACCAUCUUGAUAAUGAGCUUGUGUUGUUGACUGGUUGUGAUGUUGUGAUGUGAUUGAAAACCUGAGGAUUGUUUAAAAGAUUACUAAAUGAAAUAAAAUGAAUUUAGAAUCUGUCCCAGGAUACUUAAAGAGCUUGGCUUCCUAGUAAUCCUAAAAUCUUACUAGUUAUACUAGGCUUACUAGCAGCAGUGUAAGCGCAUUUAAAAAUGUCUAGUAACUUAUCAGUAUUACUAGGAUUACUAGAUAUGUUAAUAUGCUUAGCUCUGGUUCAUAAUGAUGCUUGUUGUGAUUGAUUGAAUCUGCUUGCAUACAUGGAUUGAAACCGAAUUGAAAGCUAUUGCAUAUAGUCUUGUGGCUGUCUUACAUUGAAGCAUUAGAUUCAUGUCUAAAUGCUGAGUAAAAAAGCUUUAAAAAUGCCUAAGUCGCUUGCAUAAA
Molecule: long non-coding RNA, 4079 nt
Organism: Brassica rapa (field mustard)
Lineage: Eukaryota; Viridiplantae; Streptophyta; Magnoliopsida; Brassicales; Brassicaceae
Source: RefSeq, a predicted model, not a curated record